GCCCGCCGCGCGCCGCGGGCGGGGCGGGGGCACGGGGGGCCUACGGGAGGCAGCAGUGAGGAAUCUUCCACAAUGGGCGAAAGCCUGAUGGAGCAACGCCGCGUGCAGGAUGAAGGCCUUCGGGUCGUAAACUGCUUUUAUUAGUGAGGAAUAUGACGGUAACUAAUAAUAAGUCCUUC
Molecule: ribosomal RNA, 179 nt
Filed under: uncultured bacterium
Lineage: Bacteria
Description: partial 16S ribosomal RNA
Rfam family: Bacterial small subunit ribosomal RNA
Source: RNAcentral